RNAcentral lists this ribosomal RNA (534 nucleotides) under uncultured bacterium. Its description in RNAcentral is "bacterial SSU rRNA". It matches the Rfam family "Bacterial small subunit ribosomal RNA", at positions 8 to 524 of the family's 1533-position model. The record is from RNAcentral.
AGAGUUUGAUCCUGGCUCAGGAUGAACGCUGGCGGCGUGCCUAAUACAUGCAAGUCGAGCGAACAGACGAGGAGCUUGCUCCUCUGACGUUAGCGGCGGACGGGUGAGUAACACGUGGAUAACCUACCUAUAAGACUGGGAUAACUUCGGGAAACCGGAGCUAAUACCGGAUAACAUGUUGAACCGCAUGGUUCAACAGUGAAAGACGGUCUUGCUGUCACUUAUAGAUGGAUCCGCGCCGCAUUAGCUAGUUGGUAAGGUAACGGCUUACCAAGGCGACGAUGCGUAGCCGACCUGAGAGGGUGAUCGGCCACACUGGAACUGAGACACGGUCCAGACUCUUACGGGAGGCAGCAGUAGGGAAUCUUCCGCAAUGGGCGAAAGCCUGACGGAGCAACGCCGCGUGAGUGAUGAAGGUCUUCGGAUCGUAAAACUCUGUUAUUAGGGAAGAACAAAUGUGUAAGUAACUAUGCACGUCUUGACGGUACCUAAUCAGAAAGCCACGGCUAACUACGUGCCAGCAGCCGCGGUAAU